Molecule: ribosomal RNA, 376 nt
Filed under: uncultured organism
Description: partial 16S ribosomal RNA
Rfam family: Bacterial small subunit ribosomal RNA
Source: RNAcentral
GUAGGUGGCAAGCGUUGUCCGGAAUUAUUGGGCGUAAAGCGCGCGCAGGCGGUCCUUUAAGUCUGAUGUGAAAGCCCACGGCUCAACCGUGGAGGUCAUUGGAAACUGGGGGACUUGAGUACAGAAGAGGAAAGCGGAAUCCAAGUGUAGCGGUGAAAUGCGUAGAGAUUUGGAGGAACACCAGUGGCGAAGGCGGCUUUCUGGUCUGUAACUGACGCUGAGGCGCGGAAGCGUGGGGAGCAAACAGGAUUAGAUACCCUGGUAGUCCACGCCGUAAACGAUGAGUGCUAAGUGUUAGGGGGGGUUUCCCGCCCCCCUUAGUGCUGCAGCUAACGCAUUAAGCACUCCGCCUGGGGGAGUACGGCCCGCAAGGCUG